Non-coding RNA from Hyaloraphidium curvatum, 122 nucleotides. The record is from the annotation of a GenBank genome assembly. Lineage: Eukaryota; Fungi; Monoblepharomycota; Hyaloraphidiomycetes; Hyaloraphidiales; Hyaloraphidiaceae.
GCUAUCUUAGUCAAGUGGUUACGACGGUGGAUUCAAUGAAUCUCCGGCGGCCCUGGUCGUUGGGAGUUUUCGGAGCAGUCCCACUCCCGAAAGGGGCGAGAGUUCGAAUCUCUCAGAUAGCA